Bos taurus (domestic cattle) is the source of this 4715-nucleotide long non-coding RNA. NCBI's taxonomy places the organism in Eukaryota, Metazoa, Chordata, Mammalia, Artiodactyla, Bovidae. The record is from Ensembl.
GGCAGGGGCUGUGUCUCCCCUUCACCCUGGAGCUGCCUCAGGUCGGGGCACUGUUUUCUCCGUGAGGCUGGAGGCUCGCUGAGAGAGACUCUGCUUCCUGUUGGCACUGGGGCUGUGGUCUGGCAGCCAGGCGCCUGGCCGCUCCCCACACCUCCCAGGAGGCCUGGUGCAGAGGGAGCGGGUCAUGUCCUCCUGCAACGCUCUCCAGCCACCCACCACUUGCCGGUGAGUCCACAGCUCCCGAGGCAGCAGGGCCACCCCUCUAUCUGAGCAGGGCCCCUCGGGGUGAGACCUCCUGUGAGAGCCCCAGGAAGCCCAAUGAGAGGAAACGCUGUGGAGCGUGGGGGAGGUUUGAAGCUGACACUGAGGAAGCCUUCCUGGGAAGGAGCUUGAGCCCCUGGACAAGACUGGGGUCACUGCUGUCCGGGGCUACAGCUGCCUGGGCAGCAGGAGGGACCUGUGAGCAAAGCAGUGUUGGGAGAUACCUCUGCCCUUGUCUCUGGGAUAGCAGGACUCUGUCCUGGUCAUGCUGGAUGUCCGAUCCUGGCCCUCAUGAGAUCUGACUUUUGACCUUUGGCUUAAUCAUAGACUGAGGUUGUUUGUCCAGUCACCCCACACCAUUAAGAUUGUGCGGAGCCCAGUGCUGGCUCCGGGCAGGGCGGGCAGUCUGUCUGAGGAGGAGACACAGCCUCUGCCCUCAGGAGCCCAGUGGAGGGGCAGUAGGCUCUCCCCCAGGGAAGAGACCUGUCAUAGGGACAAAUGACCUGGGAGGCAGGCGAACCCCUCACCCCUCCUCUAGGGGCAGCUGGAGCCUGAACUGCAUGUGAAUCUGAAACUAGAUCAGGGAAGAGCUGGCAGCAUGCCCGGCAGUGGCAGCAGUGCUUUGGGGAGCUGGUGGGGCUGAGGAAGCACCCGUGAGUCCCCCUGCCCUGGCCGUCUGCAGACAAGCCCUUGGGUGUAAGGGACAAAGGCUGGGUGGGAGAGUGCACACUAUGGGCAGAUGUUCAGGCCUGGGAGAGGGGCGUGCUGGGCUCUCGGUCCUCCAUGCUGGUGAGUGUGCUGCACGCAGAAGAUGCACGAGGCAUCAGUGAGGGUGUGUGGUGCAGGUGUGUGCACUUCUGGUGCAACACGUGUGGGUGAGCCAGGAUGCAGCCCACAAGGGGAGCAGGGAGACUGGGCCAGUGUCUGCCCCAUGAGGUCAUGCUGGGAAAUCUGCCCCUGCUUCCUGGACCUCAAGGCCCCUGCACACAGGGAGGGGUCGGCAGAGACCAGUGUAGGCCUCCCCAGCUCCAUCAGUCUGUGCUCUGAGCACCCGCACCUGGGGAAGCCCCAAGGGGCCCUGCCCGCCCACUGCCAGGCCUUCUGUCUCCCCUUGAUCCCUCGCCUUGGCGCCCCAACAACUGUGCCUGACCAGCGAAUGCAGACUGAGCCAGCUGUCGCUGUGACAUCCAUUCUCCUCGGUGGGCCUGGGUGCUCCCACCCAGCUCCCCUAGCUCCUCUCGCCCGCCUCCCUCCCUGCUACACCCACAUCUGGGAAUUAGGCAGGAUGACACCUAAAAGCCUCCAGUGGCCAUGGAAUCUCAUGGGGUUCUGAGCCUUAAUCCACGAGCUGGUCUCGAGAGACCAAGGUAACAAGAAGUUCUGCUCCCAGCACCCUCAGAUCCCCACUUUCUCUGCCCCGGGGCUCUGGGAGGAUUCCUGGGGCACCAGCCCAGAAGAGGAAAAAGGCGCCUUAUUUGCAUAUCACUUUCAUCUGAUUUGCACAUGCCUCCUGGUUUGGCCAUUUCUAAGCAACCCUAGAAUUUGGAUCUCACAGGAUGCUGAGCCGUUUCUAGGCGCUAGCUUCUCUCCAUCUCCCACAACCCAGGUGCCUCCUAAAGGACAGUCACAUGAGCGUCCCUGCAAAUAAUCCACCUGCCAAUGCAGGAGAUGCAGGUUUGAUCCCUAGGUCGGGAAGAUCUCCUGGAGAAGGAAAUGGCAACCCACUCCAGUAUUCUUGCCUAGGAAAUCCCAUGGACAGUAGAGCUUAGUGGGCUAUUGUCCAUGGGGUCGCAAAGAGUCAGACACAACUUAGUGACUAAAAGGACAUCAAAGCGCAGUCACACGCACGGAACUCUCCCUCCACUCAGCUGCACUUGCACGCAGGCGCAAGAGUACAGCAGCCUCCGCCAAAUGCAGAAAUGCGGAGUCCUGGGCCCCAGCCCUGUGCACCCUCACCCUUGGCCCAUGGAAUAUACACUGAAUACACACUCACAUGUGCAACUGCAUACUUCCGUCUUCACACGCACUCAAAACUCACACACAUUUGUCUACACACAGCCUCAGGGCACAAGCAAACACAACUCAGCUUCACAUAGGAGUUGGGUGGGUUACACACAGUCUCUGUGCCAGGGUGGGCUGCCAGUGAGGUGCCCUAAGCAACAGAUCCCACCCAGCCCCUGAGAUGGGCAGGACUGGCAAGGGUCCUGCUGUGUGACUGGCUGGGAGGAGACAGCGCAGCUCAGGUGGCUAUUGGUAGUGGUUUUACCACCAGCAGGUCCCUAGGAUACACAGUCAAUGUAGCAACCCUUUAGUCAGAGUUUUGUCUUCCCCGAAAUAUGGUUUCAUCCUGCGUUUUCUGUACCAUUUCUGGUCCCCCAACCCCAGGCCUCCUGCCCUUAUUGGUCCCCAAACAGCUUCCUUGGGUGGCCCUGCCUUCUGACUUUAUUCACCCUACUCCCUACCAAGAACACCUCCCUGCCUCCUCCAACGUGAACACCCAACACCUUCAUUCAUGCCCUCUUCCUGGGUGGGCUUCCUUCCCUGUUCUCUCGGCACACUUCUAUACAUCCUUCAAGUCCCACCUUGAGCGUCACCUCUUCGGUGAAUCCUUCUCCAGUCUUACCAGGCAGAAGUAAUCUCGCUCCUCACUCUGUAAAUCCAGAGGCAGAGCAGUGGGUAGAAAGACACAGUUGGCCCUGAAUAUCUGUGUAGAGGAUGUUUAGGGGUUCGGAGGCUUUAUUUGUAAGGAAGGGCAGGGGGCUUUUCAGAAAAACAUAAUUACAUGGUGAGUGUCUGGGUUUAAAUUAUAUUUGUGUUUAUUUUCGGGGAAGAGCAUAGACACCAUAAUCAGACAAUACUGCUUCUACCAUUUCUGCUGUGCAUCUUUGGCCCCGCACCCCUGAGAUCACUAACGUGGCUGAAGGAGCACUGUCUCGCCUUAUUGUUCUAAGGCUGUUCACUAAGCAGGAGACAUGGGUUCAAUCCCUGGAUUGGGAAAAUUCCCUGGAAAAGGAAAUGGCAAUCCACUCCAGUAUUCUUGCCUGGGAAAUCCCAUGGACAAGGGAGCCUGGCAGGGCUUAAUUUCCAAAUAUACAAACAGUUCAUGCAACUUGCAACAAUAACGAAAAACAUGAGCAACCCAAUCAAAACAUGGGCAGAAGACCUCAAGAGAUAUUUCUCCAAAGAAGACAUAUAGAUGGCCAACAGUCACAUGAAAAGAUACUCAAUCUUGCUAAUUAUUAGAGAAAUGCAAAUCAAAACUACAAUGAGGUGCCACUUCACACUGGUCAGAACGGUCAUCAUUAAAAAAUCUAGAAAUAACAAAUGCUGGGGAGGAUUUGGAGUAAAGAAAACCCUCCUACAUUGGUGUGACUGUAAACUGGCGUAGCCACUAUGGAAAACUGUAUGGAUGUUCCUCAAAAAACUAUAAACGGAACUACCAUAUGAUCCAGCAAUCCCAUUCCUGGGCAUAUAUCCUGACUAAACUAUACUCAAAGAGAAACAUACACCCUAUGUUCAUAGCAGCACGGUUCACAAUAGGCAAGACAUGGGAACAACCUAAAUGUCUAUCAACAGAUGACUGGAUAAAGGAGAUGGAAUACUAUCAGACAUAAAAAGGAAUGAAAUAAUGCCAUUUGUAGCAACGUGGAUGGACCUAGAGAUUAUCACACUAAGUCACAAAGACAAAUACCAUGUGAUAUCACUUAUGUGUAAAAUCUAUAAAGAAGGCUGAGCGCCAAAGAAUUGAUGCUUUUGAACUGUGGUGUUGGAGAAGACUCUUGAGAGUCCCUUGGACUGCAAGGAGAUCCAACCCGUCCAUCCUAAAGGAAAUCAGUCCUGAAUGUUCAUUGGAAGGACUGAUGCUGAAGGAUGAAUACUUUGGCCACCUGAUGCGAAGGACUGACUCAUGGAAAAGACCCUGAUGCUGGGAAAGACUGAAGGCAGGAGGAGAAGGGGAUGAGAGAGGAUGAGAUGGUUGGAUGGCAUCCCCGACUCGAUGGACAUGAGUUUGAGCGAGCUCCAGGAGUUGGUGAUGGACAGGGAAGCCUGGCGUGCUGCAGUCCAUGGGAUCGCAGAGUCCGACGCGACUGAGCGACUGAACUGAACUGGUGUGUAAACUCUAAAGUGUGACGCAAAUAAACUUAUCUACAGAACAGAAGCAAACUCACAGACACAGAGAACAGACUUGUGGUUGCCAAGGGGGUGGGGGAGAGACGGAUUGGGAGUCUGAGAUGUGCAGAUGCAAACUAUUAAAUACAGAAUGGAUAAGCAACAAGGUCCUCAUUGCAUAGCCCAGAGAACUAUGGUCAAUACCUGUGAUAAACCACAAUGAAAAAGAAUAUGAAAAGGACUAUAUAUUAUACAUACGCGUACAGCUGAAUCACUUUGCUGUACGCCAGAAAUUAACACGACAUUGUAAACCAACUAUAUUUUAAUAAAAUAAAUUUUUAAAA